GGGGCUUAUCGGCUUACCGAAAUCAGCCAAACUCCGAAUGCUGGCAAGUGUAGCGUGGCAGUGAGACGGCGGGGGAUAAGCUUCGUCGUCGAGAGGGAAACAGCCCAGAUCAUCAGCUAAGGCCCCUAAGUGGUGACUCAGUGGGAAAGGAUGUGGAGUUGCGUAGACAACCAGGAGGUUGGCUUGGAAGCAGCCAUCCUUGAAAGAGUGCGUAAUAGCUCACUGGUCAAGUGAUUCCGCGCCGAUAAUGUAGCGGGGCUUAAGUUAUCCGCCGAAGCUGUGGCAACCUGUGUGGUUGGGUAGGGGAGCGUCGUGUCAGUGGUGAAGCUGCCGGGUGACUGUGUGGUGGAGUUGAUGCGAGUGAGAAUGCAGGCAUGAGUAGCGUGUGACGGGUGGGAAUCCCGUCCGCCGAUUAUCCAAGGGUUCCAGGGU
This 432-nucleotide ribosomal RNA is filed under the name Cryptomonas paramaecium. RNAcentral's name for it is "Cryptomonas paramecium partial Bacterial large subunit ribosomal RNA". It matches the Rfam family "Bacterial large subunit ribosomal RNA", at positions 923 to 1360 of the family's 2925-position model. Lineage: Eukaryota; Cryptophyceae; Cryptomonadales; Cryptomonadaceae. The record is from RNAcentral.